UGGCCGGAGGCGAGGAAAGUAUCUGCUCCGCUGAGGGGGGAAAGAAGGAGCUGGAGACAGAUUGUGGGACCGAGCGCGGGCGGGCGGGAGGCGUCGGAGCUACCAGCGGCUCCGCUCUGCUAUAUGAAAUAUGGGAGACGACAGACCGUUUGUGUGCAAUGCCCCGGGCUGUGGACAGAGAUUUACAAACGAGGACCACCUGGCAGUUCACAAACACAAGCACGAGAUGACAUUGAAAUUUGGCCCAGCCCGAACGGACUCAGUCAUCAUUGCAGAUCAAACUCCUACUCCAACUAGAUUCCUGAAGAACUGUGAGGAAGUGGGGCUCUUCAAUGAACUAGCAAGCUCCUUUGAACAUGAAUUCAAGAAAGCUGCAGACGAAGAUGAGAAAAAGGCUUCAGCUGGACCCCUUGACAUGUCUCUGCCUUCCACGCCAGACAUAAAAAUCAAAGAAGAGGAGCCAGUGGAGGUGGACUCCUCCCCUCCUGACAGCCCUGCCUCGAGCCCCUGUUCCCCGGCACAAAAGGAGAAGGAGGUUGCCCCAAAACCUGUUGUGAUCUCUACCCCCACACCCACCAUCGUGCGUCCUGGCUCCCUGCCUCUCCACUUGGGCUAUGAUCCACUUCAUCCAACCCUUCCCUCCCCAACCUCCGUCAUCACGCAGGCUCCACCAUCCAACAGGCAAAUGGGGUCUCCCACGGGCUCCCUCCCUCUCGUCAUGCACCUUGCUAAUGGACAGACCAUGCCAGUGCUGCCAGGGCCUCCGGUGCAGAUGCCUUCUGUCAUAUCGCUGGCCAGACCUAUGUCCAUGGUGCCCAACAUUCCUGGUAUCCCUGGCCCACCAGUUACCAGCAGUGGUUCCAUUUCUCCCUCUGGCCACCCUAUGCCAUCGGAAGCCAAGAUGAGGCUAAAAGCCACCCUAACCCACCAGGUGUCCUCCAUCAAUGGUGGCUGCGGAAUGGUGGUGAGCACUGCCAGCACCAUGGUGACAGCCCGUCCAGAGCAGAGCCAGAUCCUCAUCCAGCACCCUGAUGCCCCAUCCCCUGCCCAGCCACAGGUCUCACCAGCCCAGCCCACACCUAGUACCGGAGGCCGACGGCGGCGCACGGUGGAUGAAGACCCAGAUGAGCGGCGGCAGCGCUUUCUGGAACGCAACCGGGCCGCAGCCUCCCGCUGCCGCCAAAAGCGAAAGCUGUGGGUGUCCUCCCUGGAGAAGAAGGCGGAGGAGCUCACUUCCCAGAACAUUCAGCUGAGUAAUGAAGUCACAUUACUGCGCAAUGAGGUGGCUCAGUUGAAACAGCUACUGUUGGCCCACAAAGACUGCCCCGUCACUGCACUACAGAAGAAGACUCAAGGCUAUCUAGAAAGCCCCAAGGAAAGCUCAGAGCCAACGGGUUCUCCAGCCCCUGUCAUUCAGCACAGCUCAGCAACAGCCCCUAGCAAUGGCCUCAGUGUCCGCUCUGCAGCCGAAGCCGUGGCCACCUCAGUCCUCACUCAGAUGGCCAGCCAAAGGACAGAACUGGGCAUGCCGCUGCAGUCGCAUGUGAUCAUGACCCCACAGUCCCAGUCUGCGGGCAGAUGAUGCCCUCCGGUGGACAGGUCCUCAGCCAGAGCUUGCCCGCCCAAGAGCCACGAGAGAUGUCAUCUUACCGCCUCCAUCUGCCUUGGACAUGGUCACGUGGGGGAAAAAUUGUGUGUUGUGAGUAUGGACAGAGGUGGGGCUUUUCUCUUCAGCCGCAUGGUCGUGUAUGUUUGACACCUGUCCUAGGGGCCUCCCAGCCCCAGAGCCACAUAGAUCAACCCCCAGGGUGGGGUUUCUGAUGCACCCACAGCCAAGGCCCCUCCAGACGGUCGAACAAUGGCCCCUGCUCCGUGCACGUGUACCUGUCUCUUUGAACACUAACCCUUACAAUUCUAGGUGUGGGGUUUUUCUCAGUUCCCUUUCUUCUCACUAAGCCAUGACUGUCAGCUUGUACCUGCUAGAUAGAGGGAGGCUGGAUCUGACAGCGGUCCCCCGCUGACCCAGCCCCAGCCACCCCUAGACUCAGGGCUUUGUCCCCCGGCAGCUGCCUGUUUACCCCUUCCCCCCUUCCUCCACUCAGCUAGAACGUUCCCCUGCGGAGAGCGUCAGACCACGUCUGUUCCAGCUCUUCCUCCCUACCUGCCACCCAAAGGAGAGCAGAAAGCAGCAGAACCCCAAGAGUUCUAGUCCUUUCUCAUCGAUUCCCAGAGCUAUUUGGGUACCUCAUUUUGUCUCUUGACUUGACCGAGGCUAGUGAUGGAGUCAGAAGACCACCUCCCCCACAAAACCUUGGCAACCUCAUCUUGUGGCCUUAAGGAAAGAUACUGCUUGGUAGCACCGAGGGAAUGAGCCCAGGAUCUGAUUGGCUGAUUCCCUCUCCCUCCCUCCCUCCCCCUCCAGACGUCAAUCAUCAGGGCAGCCAGGAACAGCCCAGCUGAAAGCUCCUUCUGUCAGGUUCUUUUACGGUUGGCAGGAGUUCACUGGCCAGAGCGUGCAUGUGGGCGUCUUUGGUCAUCUUUCUGCUCCUGCGCCUCCCGUGCACACCCCACCUCUCCUACCCUUGUGACAUUGGCUCAUGCAUAGCCCUGUGGGAGGCUGUCCCGUAGGGUCUCUGGUGCUCCCCUGCUCAUCCCCCUCUCACACAUCUGUCUCUUGCGAGGAGGGGCGCCCGGCGCCUCCCGGAACUGCUCACUUCUGUUUCACCAGGUUCCUAGCCUAGCCUCUGGGGCUCCCUGAUCCUGCACAACGUCUUCCACUCGCUUCUGUUCUCUGCGCCCAGAUCCAGUGCUUCUCCAUGAUAGAAGCCCCAGGACUCCCAAGCAUGAUAGACAAGGUCCUAAGUGGGUUUUCUUUUUUCUGAAAGAUGUAUUUUUAUUUAUUUGAAAGGUAGAGAGACAGAGAUCUUCCAUUUGCUGGUUCACUCCCCAGAUGGCUGCAACAGCCAGGGCAGGACCAGACCAAAGCCAGGAGCCAGGAACUCUAUCCAUGUCUCCCACGUGGGCGACAGGAGCCUAAGUACCCAGGCCGUCUUCCACUGCCUUCCUAGGUAUGUUAGCAGGGAGCUGGACUGGAGGCGGAGCAGCCAGGAGCUGACCUGGUGUUCUGAUACGGAAUGCUGGCAUUGCGGGCGGCAGCUUAAGUGGCUGUGCCACAGCACCAGCCCCCGAGUGGGUUUUCUUGACUGUAAGAUUGGACGGAGGGAAGGGGAGGAAGGCGCUGUGCAGGCCUCAGCAGGGGAGCCAGGGCCUGGCCCACAGGCAUUGCCUCUCACAAGAGCUGUGCGGCGCGGGGGCCGGCUCACCCCUCUCUUCCCGCUUCAUGAGGGCCGCGCAUCCCCCUCGGGCUCUGCGCCAUGCAGUCUGCACUGUGGACAUCAGGAGCGGUCCCGAGCCAGCGGCCUGUGGGCAGCUGGGUCAGCUUCAGCGGCCCUGCAGCGCCAAGGCCUUCCAGUUGUCCCAGAGCCACCUUCCGCCGUCUGCCCGGCCAAGGGUGCGCUUUCCUCCCGUCCCCUGCCUCCGUGUUCAACAUGCAUGCAGAACGGCCACCUCCUGUCUUGUCUUGUCUGUCCAAAAGUGGCUGCCAUGAGGAAAGGAGAGGGCGCGCCUGGCGCAAGCUCCCCGGCUGGCAGCGAAGACUCGGCAGGCCUGCCCACAGGUGAUGGCCUCCGCGGCAUUUGCUUCAGCUCCCCCUCCUGCUCAGCGCUGCAGCAGAACAAGCCACACCUGGUGGUUUCCUCAUCCCCCACCCCCGGGCACCCUGCAGGAACAGCCUCGAGGGAACCAGCCGGGCAAAUGCCGCGGCAGAUGGUCAGGGCGCAGGCCACCAUCUCCAGGGACCGCGCUUGCCUUUAAAACCCCACAGCUAUGCCUUGCUCAGGGCUCCCUCAGACAGCCGCUCCCUGGGGUGUUCUCGGCUGCAGUCUUGCUUCAUGUUUUACUGUCUCGAUUUCCCACUCGCAGCCUUGCCCGGAAGCUUGACUGAGUUUAUGGCUCCUAAGGAGCCUCCCUAGGCCCUGGACUGUGUUUCCUCCCCCAUCAGUCAGGUGUUUCUGAAGUUCCGAGUCCGCUCGUCCCGCACACAGCCUCCGCGAGUCAGCCCCGCAUGCGACGGCAGACUCGCUCAGAGGCCGUUUUGUGUCUGAGCGCCGGGUUCUGACCCUCCUGACCCCUGAUUUCGCUUUCACCCGUAGGAAGGGAGGUUAUUUCAGGCACCUGAAUGAGGGGCAGCGCCAGAACCAUAGGGCGGAAGGGACAGGGCCCCGGCAGCUCUCCGGGUGCGCCGCAGCUCAACCUGGAGCUUUUCUCACAGGCGAGGGGGCCCUCCCGUCCCUUGCUCCUGCCGCCAGCCCUGUACCGAGGACCCUGUCCUCUCUGGAAGGGCCUCCUUGGCCCUUCCAGAGAGGAGCUGAGCAUGCGGAGUCCUCGGCACCGUUCCAGGUGAGCACGUGGCGUGGAGGGAGGCGCCACAGCCGGGCUCUGCUCGGAGGAGGACUGACAGGGCGUGCCUGCUCUACUCCGUCCCCUGCUGACUGGACACCCCAGCCCUGGCUCCCCUCAGCUGCGCUCGCGGCCAGCCGCCUGUGGCUGUAGCUCCCAGGGGAGCUGGGCUAGCCGCCCCUCACCUUGCUCUUCCUGUAGCUCGGGCCCUGUUCUCAGGGCCCUCGCUACCACCCACCCUGGUGGGUGGACUACUGCCCAUAGCUGUGCGUCGUCUGCAGCCUGAGCCGCCAGGCGGGCACCAAAAAUUCUUCCUCUGGCCUCUGAGGCCCCCUGCACCACCCGGAGAGGCCCCUUAAAGGUGCUAGCCCGAGACAGCGCUGCCCAGCAGAAGUCUCCCUUCUCUCGAAACUUCUUCCCAUGCACAAGUCAUUUUUUUCCAUUAAUACUGUACUUUGCAUACAGAGAAAAGAAAUAUAUUAUUUCUUUUGUUUUUUCAUUUCAUAACCAGUCUGUUUAGAUUCCAGUCCUCCUAACGAUAUCGCACAGGCCUGUGUUGACAUGCUUUAUCUGCUUGCUCUAACUUACAUGGGAGGGUGGGGGGAGUCAGGGCAUGUAGGGAGCCAGACAGGUGAGGGUCCCAGGGCAGAUUAGGGGACCCCCCAUUGCACUACAGCCUCCCACAGCCCUCAACAUCCCUCUCAUAAUGAUGAACUCGUUUUUCCACAUUACUGCUCGCACCCAGGCACUCAGGGUGAUGGGCCAUCAGGGGUGGGUGCAGGUGGCUGCUGACCAAGCCCUGCCCUGAUGACGUCUUCCCUCUCUGAGGUCAGAUCCUACCCUGGAAUGAGCAGAGGCUGGGGAGAGUGGGGCAGGUUGAGGCAGUCCACUGUGGAUGCAGUGUGUAUUGUCGCCGUGAGGGCUCAUUCUAGUUUGGUAAUGGGGAGCUCCGAGCACCAGCGCCGGUGAGCCGUGUGCUGGCCGUAGGCAGCCGUGAGCCCCAGUUGUAUGGACUGUACCUGAGGGCAGCGACCCUCAGAACACACUCCAGGGCCGGCAGCAGCACCCACACCUGGGCACGUGCUCGAGGUACACAUUCCUGGGCCCGCCUGGGACCUGCUGAGGGGAAACUGGUCCCGACGCGGGCACUCCAGCUGACUCCAGUGCACACUAAAGUGCGAGACGCGCCGCCUUCAGGGCACGCUGGGGACUCCGUGUAGGGUGCCGAGGACUCUGAAGCACCAUCCUCCACGGUGUCACUAAUGUGUUCUCCAUUUCCUACAGUCCCUUCCUCCACAUCCAUUACAGCCGCCCCCCACCACCACGCCCCUCGUCUCUGAAUUUAGGUUUGUCUUUCUUCUGGGUUCUCCCUAGAAGCUGUCCCUGCGUCUGUGGCCCGGAGGUGUCCCGUCUCCCCUCGCAGACUGGUCACUGCACGUGUUCUGAGUCCUCAGGCCCAGCCGGCUCGCUGGCGGUCCCUGGGGUCCCCCACACACCUUGCAGGCAGGGAGGAGCAAGCCUCUGGCCCCAGGAGCAGAGGCUGCCACACCCGACGUAGGGCCUGCAGAGUGGCAGCGUGUAUCUAGGGCUGUGUCUCUGUUCAGCUAUAUAUUUUUGACAUGUAGCAAGACCUCUCCAUCUCCCCAAGGACUCGCUCGGGGCUGGGCCUCCGCAGUCUCCGGGCUGGGCUUUGACAGGUGGGAGGACGCAGCGCUGCAGGCUGUUUUGUUACAAAUCGUGUCGCCCUUCCCCCGCCACCCCAUCCAGCAUGACUGAUCCCUGUGAGCAGGCUCUCACGACCUCCCAGGACGGACGGGGCGCGGCAGGGGCUUCACCGGCUGUCCCUGACCGCCCCUCCCUCCCCCUUGCCACUUAGCAGUUACCCCCCCAGCCAUGCCUCCUCCCCCAAACCCGGCCCGACAUAUAUUGUGCCUUAUUUAUGCUGCAAAUACAACAUUAAACUAUCGAGAGAACCACUUCCGCCUGCUGCUUCUCUGCUCUCCUACAAGUCGCGUUGUCCACUACAAGUCACUCUGGGGGUGGGGAUCCCGUUGCCCGCGAUCCUCGUCCCGCCCCCCAUUCCUUCAGACAGGAAGGGCCCCUACUGUUUUGUACAGGGAAGACAGUCUAGAGAAGGCCGAUGGCUUAGUAAAUAACAUGGCAGGACAGGGGGCAAGGGACCAGAUCUGUGGGCGGCCUGGCCAGGCGCGUGCACAACCUGGGAGAGUGACUGUAGGCAGUGGCUUCUUUCGAUGCUUUUUUCGCACCCCACCCCCUCCCCACACUGGCACAGCCUGGGAGUGAGGGCGGCGGCUUGAGGACAAGCAGAGUGCCCAAGCGAAGCGGGCCCUGCGCCCUGCGCCGAGGCUCAGGCCCAGGUGGCGGGCAGCCGCUCACUCACGCUCGCAUCCCUGUGUCUUCCGUUCUGCUUCCUGUCACAAGCGAGAACAAUGAGCCAGGCUGAAGAAUCUGACAAGAGACAGCAGGCGCCUCUGCGCUGUCCCGUUAGGAGCAACAUGGCUUGGGCAGCUGCUUGUGGCUGGGGUCAGGGAGCCUCCCCUGGAAGGCGGGCAAGGCAGUGGUGGUCUCACUGCGUCACGGUCAGGAGCAGGGGUCUCCAGAGAAGGGCCAGAGGCAGCUGCCAAGAGACGGAUGCCGGGCCGGCGCCGUGGCUCACUAGGCUAAUCCUCCACCUUGCGGCACCGGCACACCAGGUUCUAGUCCCAGUCGGGGCGCCGAAUUCUGUCCCGGUUGCCCCUCUUCCAGGACAGCUCUCUGCUGUGGCCCGGGGAGUACAGUGGAGGAUGGCCCAAGUGCUUGGGCCCUGCACCCCAUGGGAGACCAGGAGAAGCACCUGGCUCCUGCCAUCGGAUCAGCGCACCGGCCGCGUCAGCCAUUGGAGGGUGAACCAAUGGCAAAGGAAGACCUUUCUCUCUCUCUCUCACUGUCCACUCUGCCUGUCAAAAAAAAAAAAAAAAAGACGGAUGCCGAUGCCGACGCCGAGAGGGCAAGGUUCAGGAGGUGGGACAGUGUGUGUGCCAAGCUGGAAUAAUCGGCCCGUCCAGCUCUCCCCGAGGGCCUCCUGGCCUGGCCCCUUCAUGCGUGCAGUCUCGCUCAGACCCGCACACCACUGGUGGCAGAGAAAUGCUGGGGAGAAGCAUGGGGCGGUGAGUGAGCACCGAGUGCCCACGCCGCGCCGUGCCACGUGGGAGGCCAGGAUACCUCAUUUGCUGAUGAGGAACCGAGGGUCAGAUAGUCACAGCACAGGGCGAGAGCGAGGGUUAAAACAGGGUUCCAUCUGACCCAGACCCACAUUCUCACCCCUGUGUGAGGCGGGCGCCCCUUCCCACCAACUGGCUGUGCUGUCUCCCACAGACUGGGUGCAGUAACAAGUUAGGAUGAUGACGCCUGCCUGUCAGGAUGGGGACCACACGGGACAGAGCUCACACAGGUGCAGCCAGGCUUUCUGCAGAAACACAGGAUCUAGAACAUCAAGAUCAAAACCUCCAGUCUCUGCCUCUAAAGUAUAAGUUGGUUCCUAGAUGCCUUGCUUUCAAGAGAGGGGCAUUUGCAUUGAGCGAGGAAGACGGUGGAGUGGAUUCAAACGUGAGAGAGGAAAGCCCUCAAAGAGGAAGCGCCCUGGCCGGAGCCACAGGAGGCGGCAGGCGUCCCCGCACUAGCGUGCACCUGCUGGAGACGGGCUCAGGAGCUGGCAAAUGUGAGAGUGAUGAUUCCAGCUUAACCUUCCAAGUGGCACACAGGGUGUGAUCCUGACGCCUGUCUCUUACCCUGGCCAGUUCUUUCCCUGGGACUGAAGGACACCGUACCCAGCCCCUCCAACAGGGGUUGGAAGAGCUGGGAGGUGAUCGAGUGAAGCUCUCCAACCUGUUGAGGGAUUGGGGGUUCUCACAAGGCCCCUCAGGGCCCGGCUGUGACAAAGCGUCUGCAAUUAAUGAUGCGUCU
Lepus europaeus (European hare) is the source of this 8421-nucleotide RNA transcript. It is a transcript of the gene named cyclic AMP-dependent transcription factor ATF-7, with no coding region annotated. The record is from RefSeq and is a predicted model, not a curated record. NCBI's taxonomy places the organism in Eukaryota, Metazoa, Chordata, Mammalia, Lagomorpha, Leporidae. The transcript has 13 exons.